Molecule: transfer RNA, 74 nt
Filed under: Emiliania huxleyi virus 145
Lineage: Varidnaviria; Bamfordvirae; Nucleocytoviricota; Megaviricetes; Algavirales; Phycodnaviridae
Also listed under: 1 other name
Description: tRNA-Ile
Source: RNAcentral
GUCCCAUUAACUCAGUUGGUAGAGUGUGGUUCCUAUGAAGCUAUGGUCGGCGUUUCGAGCACGCCAUGGGACAC